ACUCAAAUGAAUUGACGGGGGCCCGCACAAGCGGCGGAGCAUGUGGCUUAAUUCGACGCAACGCGAAGAACCUUACCAAGGCUUGACAUACACCGGAAAAUCCUGGAGACAGGGUCGCCCUUUGUGGCUGGUGUACAGGUGGUGCAUGGCUGUCGUCAGCUCGUGUCGUGAGAUGUUGGGUUAAGUCCCGCAACGAGCGCAACCCUUGUCUCGUGUUGCCAGCAGGCCCUUUGUGGUGCUGGGGACUCACGGGAGACUGCCGGGGUCAACUCGGAGGAAGGUGGGGACGACGUCAAGUCAUCAUGCCCCUUAUGUCUUGGGCUGCACACGUGCUACAAUGGCCGGUACAAUGAGUGGCGAUGCCGUGAGGUGGAGCGAAUCUCAAAAAGCCGGUCUCAGUUCGGAUUGGGGUCUGCAACUCGACCCCAUGAAGUCGGAGUCGCUAGUAAUCGCAGAUCAGCAGUGCUGCGGUGAAUACGUUCCCGGGCCUUGUACACACCGCCCGU
RNAcentral lists this ribosomal RNA (506 nucleotides) under uncultured bacterium. RNAcentral's name for it is "partial 16S ribosomal RNA". It matches the Rfam family "Bacterial small subunit ribosomal RNA", at positions 899 to 1397 of the family's 1533-position model. The record is from RNAcentral.